UACGUAGGGCGCAAGCGUUAUCCGGAAUUAUUGGGCGUAAAGAGCUCGUAGGCGGUUUGUCGCGUCUGCCGUGAAAGUCCGGGGCUCAAUUCCGGAUCUGCGGUGGGUACGGGCAGACUAGAGUGAUGUAGGGGAGACUGGAAUUCCUGGUGUAGCGGUGAAAUGCGCAGAUAUCAGGAGGAACACCGAUGGCGAAGGCAGGUCUCUGGGCAUUAACUGACGCUGAGGAGCGAAAGCGUGGGGAGCGAACAGG
This 253-nucleotide ribosomal RNA is filed under the name uncultured bacterium. RNAcentral's name for it is "partial 16S ribosomal RNA". It matches the Rfam family "Bacterial small subunit ribosomal RNA", at positions 524 to 776 of the family's 1533-position model. The record is from RNAcentral.